UACUCACAGCCACUACGAACCAGCGUGUAUCCCCGUAAACACGAAACAAUAACAUCGCGGCAUCCGCGCUGGUGGUUAGAACUCUAGUGUACAUCUUAAUUUCUGUAGUGUACAUCAUAAUUUCUGAUUGGAUGGUAUAUAAUUUAUCAUGUUCAGUUUUUUGGGUCAUUGUUGUUUCUUCUUUGCGAGACUCGCUGGGUGUGGAAGGAGUUCAUACACAAGUUUUGCAAAUGCUGUUACGUGGUCUCAAAAGGAUAUUCAAUAUUCAUAUUUUUUUGCAUUAUGUUGUUGCUAGUAAUGAUACAACUGAUUAGUUUUGUAAUGUACAUUUGAAAUAAGAGAAGCACAAUUCCCAAUAGUUGUCACUUUAUCUCAUGGUUGGUCACAUAAUGGAGCAAUGACUAAAAUAUUAUUAAGUGAAGUAACCGAGGCUGUGAUAGCCAGCUUGUGUGUUCAGGUGUGAUGGCUUGAAAAAUGGUUAAAGGCAUGCUGAAAAUUAAACAAAGAAAGUUCAUUCUAAAGUGCUACUGGAAGACUGAGAAUUUAAGUGGAAUGCAAAGUUUCAACAAAAUGCACCAACUUGACUCACAAUUACUCAUUUGUGAGAUAAAUUUGAGGAAGCAGGAACUGUCCAGAGUGCCAACAAGAACUAUUCUAGAAGACUAUGAUCAUCCACAGUUCCACAAGAGAAAGAAAAGUCAUUGAAAGGUUUCAAUAAUCUCCUAGAAAGUCUGUGCGGCAAGGGGAAUUCCAAAG
Long non-coding RNA from Schistocerca cancellata (South American locust), 756 nucleotides. RefSeq lists it as uncharacterized. Lineage: Eukaryota; Metazoa; Arthropoda; Insecta; Orthoptera; Acrididae. The transcript has 3 exons. The record is from RefSeq and is a predicted model, not a curated record.